This 468-nucleotide ribosomal RNA is filed under the name uncultured bacterium. RNAcentral describes it as "partial 16S ribosomal RNA". It matches the Rfam family "Bacterial small subunit ribosomal RNA", at positions 28 to 507 of the family's 1533-position model. The record is from RNAcentral.
GACGAACGCUGGCGGCGUGCUUAACACAUGCAAGUCGAACGGAAAGGCCCUGCUUUUGUGGGGUGCUCGAGUGGCGAACGGGUGAGUAACACGUGAGUAACCUUCCCUUGACUUUGGGAUAACUUCAGGAAACUGGGUCUAAUACCGGAUAGGAGCUCCUGCUGCAUGGUGGGGGUUGGAAAGUUUCGGCGGUUGGGGAUGGACUCGCGGCUUAUCAGCUUGUUGGUGGGGUAGUGGAUUACCAAGGCUUUGACGUGUAGCCGGCCUGAGAGGGUGACCGGCCACAUUGGGACUGAGAUACGGCGCAGACUCCUACGGGAGGCAGCAGUGGGGAAUAUUGUACAAUGGGCGGAAGCCUGAUGCAGCAACGCCGCGUGCGGGAAGACGGCCUUCGGGUUGGAAACCGCUUGCGCAUGUGACGAAGCGUGAGUGACGGUAAUGGGUAAAGAAGCACCGGCUAACUACGUG